RNAcentral lists this ribosomal RNA (1449 nucleotides) under Francisella halioticida. Its description in RNAcentral is "bacterial SSU rRNA". It matches the Rfam family "Bacterial small subunit ribosomal RNA". Lineage: Bacteria; Pseudomonadati; Pseudomonadota; Gammaproteobacteria; Thiotrichales; Francisellaceae. The record is from RNAcentral.
GCUGGUGGCAUGCUUAACACAUGCAAGUCGAACGGUAACAGGAGAAGCUUGCUUCUUGCUGACGAGUGGCGGACGGGUGAGUAACGCGUAGGAAUCUGCCCAUUUGUGGGGGAUACCAGUUGGAAACGAUGUUAAUACCGCAUACUAUCUGAGGAUUAAAGGUGGCCUUUGUGCUGCCGCAGAUGGAUGAGCCUGCGUUAGAUUAGCUUGUUGGUGGGGUAAAGGCCUACCAAGGCUACGAUCUAUAGCUGAUUUGAGAGGAUGAUCAGCCACAUUGGGACUGAGACACGGCCCAAACUCCUACGGGAGGCAGCAGUGGGGAAUAUUGGACAAUGGAGGAAACUCUGAUCCAGCAAUGCCAUGUGUGUGAAGAAGGCUCUAGGGUUGUAAAGCACUUUAGUUGGGGAGGAAAGCUUAUGAGUUAAUAGCUCAUGAGAAGGACGUUACCCAAAGAAUAAGGACCGGCUAACUCCGUGCCAGCAGCCGCGGUAAUACGGGGGGGUCCGAGCGUUAAUCGGAAUUACUGGGCGUAAAGGGUCUGUAGGUGGUUUGUUAAGUCAGAUGUGAAAGCCCAGGGCUCAACCUUGGAACUGCAUUUGAUACUGGCAAACUAGAGUAUGGUAGAGGAAUGGGGAAUUUCUGGUGUAGCGGUGAAAUGCGUAGAGAUCAGAAGGAACACCAAUGGCGAAGGCAACAUUCUGGACCAAUACUGACACUGAGGGACGAAAGCGUGGGGAUCAAACAGGAUUAGAUACCCUGGUAGUCCACGCUGUAAACGAUGAGUACUAGCUGUUGGAUUCGGUGUAAAGGAUCUAGUGGCGUAGCUAACGCGUUAAGUACUCCGCCUGGGGACUACGGCCGCAAGGCUAAAACUCAAAGGAAUUGACGGGGACCCGCACAAGCGGUGGAGCAUGUGGUUUAAUUCGAUGCAACGCGAAGAACCUUACCUGGUCUUGACAUCCUGCGAACUUUCUAGAGAUAGAUUGGUGCCUUCGGGAACGCAGUGACAGGUGCUGCACGGCUGUCGUCAGCUCGUGUUGUGAAAUGUUGGGUUAAGUCCCGCAACGAGCGCAACCCCUAUUGAUAGUUACCAUCAUUAAGUUGGGUACUCUAUUGAGACUGCCGCUGACAAGGCGGAGGAAGGUGGGGACGACGUCAAGUCAUCAUGGCCCUUACGACCAGGGCUACACACGUGCUACAAUGGGUAUUACAGAGGGCAGCGAAGUAGCGAUAUGGAGCGAAACUCAGAAAGGUACUCUUAGUCCGGAUUGCAGUCUGCAACUCGACUGCAUGAAGUCGGAAUCGCUAGUAAUCGCAGGUCAGAAUACUGCGGUGAAUACGUUCCCGGGUCUUGUACACACCGCCCGUCACACCAUGGGAGUGGGUUGCUCCAGAAGUAGAUAGCUUAACGAAUGGGCGUUUACCACGGAGUGAUUCAUGACUGGGGUG